GCCCACUUAGCUUAGAGGUUAGAGCAUCGCAUUUGUAAUGCGAGGUCAUCGGUUCAAAUCCGAUAGUCUGCU
RNAcentral lists this transfer RNA (72 nucleotides) under Brachypodium distachyon (stiff brome). It matches the Rfam family "tRNA". From Rfam's summary of the family: Transfer RNA (tRNA) molecules are approximately 80 nucleotides in length. Their secondary structure includes four short double-helical elements and three loops (D, anti-codon, and T loops). Further hydrogen bonds mediate the characteristic L-shaped molecular structure. tRNAs have two regions of fundamental functional importance: the anti-codon, which is responsible for specific mRNA codon recognition, and the 3' end, to which the tRNAs corresponding amino acid is attached (by aminoacyl-tRNA synthetases). tRNAs cope with the degeneracy of the genetic code in two manners: having more than one tRNA (with a specific anti-codon) for a particular amino acid; and 'wobble' base-pairing, i.e. permitting non-standard base-pairing at the 3rd anti-codon position. The record is from Rfam by way of RNAcentral. Lineage: Eukaryota; Viridiplantae; Streptophyta; Magnoliopsida; Poales; Poaceae.